AGUGAACGCUGGCGGUAGGCCUAACACAUCCAAGUCGAACGGCAGCACAGUAAGAGCUUGCUCUUACGGGUGGCGAGUGGCGGACGGGUGAGGAAUACAUCGGAAUCUACUUUUUCGUGGGGGAUAACGUAGGGAAACUUACGCUAAUACCGCAUACGACCUACGGGUGAAAGCAGGGGAUCUUCGGACCUUGCGCGAUUGAAUGAGCCGAUGUCGGAUUAGCUAGUUGGCGGGGUAAAGGCCCACCAAGGCGACGAUCCGUAGUUGGUCUGAGAGGAGGAUCAGCCACACUGGAACGGAGACACGGUCCAGACUCCUACGGGAGGCAGCAGUGGGGAAUAUUGGACAAUGGGCGCAAGCCUGAUCCAGCCAUACCGCGUGGGUGAAGAAGGCCUUCGGGUUGUAAAGCCCUUUUGUUGGGAAAGAAAAUCAGCAGGUUAAUACCCCGCUGUUCUGACGGUACCCAAAGAAUAAGCACCGGCUAACUUCGU
RNAcentral lists this ribosomal RNA (491 nucleotides) under uncultured bacterium. RNAcentral describes it as "partial 16S ribosomal RNA". It matches the Rfam family "Bacterial small subunit ribosomal RNA", at positions 29 to 506 of the family's 1533-position model. The record is from RNAcentral.